GACGAACGCUGGCGGCGUGCUUAACACAUGCAAGUCGAACGGAAAGGCCCUGCUUGCCGGGUGCUCGAGUGGCGAACGGGUGAGUAACACGUGGGUGAUCUGCCCCUUACUUUGGGAUAAGCCUGGGAAACUGGGUCUAAUACUGGAUAGGACCAUGCUGUAGGUGGUGUGGUGGAAAGAUUAGUUUCGGUAAGGGAUGAGCUCGCGGCCUAUCAGCUUGUUGGUGGGGUAAUGGCCUACCAAGGCGUCGACGGGCAGCCGGCCUGAGAGGGUGGACGGCCACAUUGGGACUGAGAUACGGCGCAGAAUCCUACGGGAGGCAGCAGUGGGGAAUAUUGCACAAUGGGCGCAAGCCUGAUGCAGCGACGCCGCGUGGGGGAUGACGGCCUUCGGGUUGUAAACUCCUUUCAGCCAUGACGAAGCCCUUGUGGUGACGGUAGUGGUAGAAGAAGCACCGGCUAACUACGUG
RNAcentral lists this ribosomal RNA (469 nucleotides) under uncultured bacterium. RNAcentral describes it as "partial 16S ribosomal RNA". It matches the Rfam family "Bacterial small subunit ribosomal RNA", at positions 28 to 507 of the family's 1533-position model. The record is from RNAcentral.